This 494-nucleotide ribosomal RNA is filed under the name uncultured bacterium. RNAcentral's name for it is "partial 16S ribosomal RNA". It matches the Rfam family "Bacterial small subunit ribosomal RNA", at positions 28 to 507 of the family's 1533-position model. The record is from RNAcentral.
GACGAACGCUGGCGGCGUGCUUAACACAUGCAAGUCGAACGGAAAGGCCUGCUUUCCCUUGUGGUUUGCGUGUACUCGAGUGGCUAACUGGUGAGUAACACGUUAGUGAUCUGCCCCCAACUUGGUUCUAAGCCUGGGAAACUGUGUCUAAUUCCCGUUAGGACUGCAGGGUGCUGCCUGUUGUGGAAAUCGUUUUUCUAGUGGUUGGGGAUGCGCUCGCGGCCUAUCUGCUUGUUGAGGUGGUAAUGGCCUACCAAGGCGGCGACGGGUCGCCGGACUGAGAGGGUGGACGGCCGAAUUGGGACUGAGAUACGGCCCAGACUCCUACGAGAGGCAGCAGAGGGGAAGAAUGCACAAUGAGCGGAAGCCUGAAGCAGCGACGCAGCGAGGAAGAUGACGGCAUUCGGGUAGUAAACUACUUGCGAACGAGAGGAAGCCACCUGGUUGGAAGGGUGGUGACGGUAGUGGUAGAAGAAGCACCGGCUAACUACGUG